AGAGUUUGAUAAUGGAUAAAAAGCAACGCUGGGGGCGUGCCUCAGACAUGCAAGUCGAACGAUUAAAGCCCUCUUCGGAGGGUUUUUCUUCCUGAAGCACGGGUGAGUAACACGUAAGUAAUCUACCCUCGGGUGGGGAAUAACAACCGGAAACGGUUGCUAAUACCGCAUACUGCAUCGCCUCCUUAUGGAGACGUUUGUUAAAGGAUUUAUUCGCCUGAGGAGCACCUUGCGUAUUUUACUAGUUGGGAAGGAAAGGGUUACCAGGGUUCGAUCUGG
RNAcentral lists this ribosomal RNA (279 nucleotides) under uncultured bacterium. Its description in RNAcentral is "partial 16S ribosomal RNA". It matches the Rfam family "Bacterial small subunit ribosomal RNA", at positions 8 to 287 of the family's 1533-position model. The record is from RNAcentral.